AGUGGCACCAAAUCAGGCUGGAGGCAGCAAUGCCAAUAGACGAAUCUCUUCCAUUUCUGCAGUAUCAGUAGUGCUGGAGGAAACACAAGAUAGAAGAACGGUGUCUCCCAAGGAGUGGUUGCCCAAACCCUCUUGAGCAGAAACGAGGACACUUUCUGUUCCUGGAACUCUUGCAGCCCCCAUCUUUGGAAUAUACUAUGCAGAACUUUGGUGUUUAGCUCCCAUUUGUAAUCCUGUGAGAAGUGUCUGCUGAAGAUAUCGGGUGUGGUGUUCUGAAUACCUGUGAGGUAGACUGCUGAAAUUUGCAUCUGAUGAGCUAUGCACAAAUCCCAUAGUUUCAUAGCUUCAGUGUACGGAGAGGAGAAUCUCACUCCUCCCUACCUGUUGAUAAAAAACAUGCAGGUUACAUUGUC
Long non-coding RNA from Mauremys reevesii (Reeves's turtle), 413 nucleotides. RefSeq lists it as uncharacterized. Lineage: Eukaryota; Metazoa; Chordata; Testudines; Geoemydidae. The record is from RefSeq and is a predicted model, not a curated record. The transcript is spliced from 2 exons.